This 276-nucleotide ribosomal RNA is filed under the name uncultured bacterium. RNAcentral describes it as "partial 16S ribosomal RNA". The record is from RNAcentral.
CUGCUGCCUCCCGUAGGAGUCUGGUCCGUGUCUCAGUACCAGUGUGGGGGACCUUCCUCUCAGAACCCCUACGCAUCGUCGGUUAGGUGGGCCGUUACCCCGCCUACUGCCUAAUGCGCCGCAUGCCCAUCCCUGUCCGGCCGAAGCCUUUCCUGCCUCCGGGAUGCCCCGGUGGCAUGUACGCGGGUUUAGCCCGCCUUUCGGCGGGUUGUCCCCCUCGACAGGGGCAGGUUGCAUACGUGUUACUCACCCGUGCGCCGGUCGCCGGCGGAGAAG